UACGAAGGGGGCUAGCGUUGUUCGGAUUUACUGGGCGUAAAGCGCACGUAGGCGGAUCUUUAAGUCAGAGGUGAAAUCCCAAGGCUCAACCUUGGAACUGCCUUUGAUACUGGGGAUCUUGAGUCCGGGAGAGGUGAGUGGAACUGCGAGUGUAGAGGUGAAAUUCGUAGAUAUUCGCAAGAACACCAGUGGCGAAGGCGGCUCACUGGCCCGGUACUGACGCUGAGGUGCGAAAGCUAGGGGAGCAAACGGG
This 253-nucleotide ribosomal RNA is filed under the name uncultured bacterium. RNAcentral describes it as "partial 16S ribosomal RNA". It matches the Rfam family "Bacterial small subunit ribosomal RNA", at positions 524 to 776 of the family's 1533-position model. The record is from RNAcentral.